Molecule: small nucleolar RNA, 134 nt
Organism: Stegostoma tigrinum
Lineage: Eukaryota; Metazoa; Chordata; Chondrichthyes; Orectolobiformes; Stegostomatidae
Product: small nucleolar RNA SNORA44
Exons: 1
Source: RefSeq, a predicted model, not a curated record
AUGCAUAGUAACCGAGAGCUGCAGCCUCACAGUUGGUAGUUGUGGAAUCUCCAACAACAUGCAUGAAAAUUGGAGACACUUUGACAGCAUUGGCCCUAUGUUUCCUCUGACUGUCACUUGAGUCUCCUACAUCU